Molecule: long non-coding RNA, 482 nt
Filed under: Cavia porcellus (domestic guinea pig)
Lineage: Eukaryota; Metazoa; Chordata; Mammalia; Rodentia; Caviidae
Description: lncRNA (ENSCPOG00000040029.1)
Source: RNAcentral
UAUUUUGUUUCUUGCCUUUUCUGGAAUUCAAGCUGUCAGCUCUUGCUCUGCUAACAAUGUGGGCUAGGAGCUGGAGUACAUUCAGACCACUAAGGAACACUACAGGCACGGAUGCCUUCCACAACACCAGCGGAAAUGAGACGGCAGACUGUGAAAAGAAGUCACGUUCUGUCAUAAACAUACCAAGAUUCUCUCCACGAACUGUGGAUAAGAAACCACCACAGAGCCCUCCAAGAAGACAGACACAUGGAGAAAAGGGGACCGAGACUGGGCUCGGAGCAGGGAAAACACAGCAAAGAUCAAGAUUAUCCUGAGUGCUGCCCUGCUCCAGUGACAUCACCAGGGCGUAACAGCAAGGAAAAUGGUAAUCCUCAGUGUCAGCCACGGCGCCAUGAGGCCCCACAGACACAGACAGACGCUCAAGCACACGAUGGAGUCCCUCCAUAGUCUCUGUUCUUGUAACUCGUACCCCAGCAGUCCUC